UACGGGGGGGGGCAAGCGUUGUUCGGAAUUACUGGGCGUAAAGGGCUCGUAGGCGGCCAACUAAGUCAGACGUGAAAUCCCUCGGCUUAACCGGGGAACUGCGUCUGAUACUGGAUGGCUUGAGGUUGGGAGAGGGAUGCGGAAUUCCAGGUGUAGCGGUGAAAUGCGUAGAUAUCUGGAGGAACACCGGUGGCGAAGGCGGCAUCCUGGACCAAUUCUGACGCUGAGGAGCGGGAAGCCCAGGGGGAGCAA
Molecule: ribosomal RNA, 252 nt
Filed under: uncultured bacterium
Lineage: Bacteria
Description: partial 16S ribosomal RNA
Rfam family: Bacterial small subunit ribosomal RNA
Source: RNAcentral